UAGUUUAAGAUCUGCGUUCGUAUUCCAUAUAUAUGGAUAUACUGGGCAAGAGUGGAAGGCCAUGGAAGGCGGUCAAAUUGUAUAAGGAGAUGAAGAAGAAGGGAACCAAAUUGGAUGUGUUAGCAUACGGUUAUAUGUGCCCUUGGUCUUUCUGAAGGUGUUGAUUUUUCAAUCAGGUUAUUAAGGGAGAGACGAGUGACUUGGGUUGUGAACCCAAUGUUGUGACUUAUUGUAAUACGAUCCUAAAAGCUUUUGUGUGAAAAGAGGAGGUAUAAAGAGGCAUCUGCGAUGCCUGCUAAAAUGCCUGACAAAAGUGGUGCGCCGGAUGUGAUUGCAUAUCAUUGCAUACUUGCCUCUAUCGAGAAGCCAAAAGAAAAUUCUUAGAUUUUUCUAUAGGAUCGGAAGUGGUGUUCAACCGAGGAUGGACACUUAAGUGAUGCUUAUGAGGAAAUUUGGGAGAUGGGAAUUCCUUGGACCGGCUUUUGUUGUAUGGAAGAAGAAGGACGAGAUUGGGUGUAGUCCAAAUGAGUCGGCUUACCAUGCUUUUUGAUUGAUGCUCUGGUGGGAAUGAUAGACAUGGCUAGGAUGUAUGGUGAGGAGAUGCUGGCAAAGGGGCUUUCAGCUAACCAUAUGGAAGACUGGUGACAAGGCUGGUGAGAAGAGGAUCAGAUGAUUGGUAAUUGCGAUAUUUUGCGUUUAUUCAAGAUGGAUGAGCCAUGAAAAUGCUUGUAAAUGUUAUUGGAAGAUUGUGCCAUAAUCUCCUAUAUUAAGCAGAUGGAAGAAGAUAGCAGCUCAGGGGUGACACCUGAAUAAUGCAAGCUGCUGAAUAAUGAAUGGCAUAAUUCUAGGUUUGUAGCUAUAUUGAGGAAAUGAGAUUUGAAAAGAGGUUGAGAUUGUCUAAUAACCAUUCAUCAUGGUUUUUGAUCCGUCAGGAGCAGCAAUUUUCUGCUUCAGAACAACUUUAGAUUUCUCAUCUCUUCAUGCGCUAGUAUAAAAGGUUCCUGGUGAAUAUAUCUAUAUGAAGAUUAUGAUUUGUGACAGCAAUAUGCUGCAGAUGAUUCUGAAGUAGACAAAAUUAAGGGAAAGGGUAAUUUGAUGAUUAUUUUGAGAUAUGUUCUGAGGACUCAGUUUCUUUUUGAUCCAUUUUGUUUCCAGUCUAGCAGCCAUGGUCCAUGGAUUCUUGUUCAUAUAUCCUUGCUAAAGGAUAACUGUGAAAUGAUUACCAGAAGGAAGAUGGAACUAAUAGGCAAGUCUCUGUUAUUGAUGCCAAGACAACUACACAUUGAUAUGGGCAUCUUAUCUUUUCAAUAGUUCAAUUUGAGAGGUGAUUGAUGCAGAAUGGAAUACCACCAGCAUCAAUUUCUUCAAAAUGCAGCAUACUUACAAGGCUUCUUUCAUUCAUGCUUUUAGAUCUUUUGAUGGCAAAGAUUGUGGUUAUCAAGGGUGUCAAAAGUUGGUGCUCUGGUUUAAAAGCUGCAGCAAUCAACGUUCAUCUUUCGCAUUCUGCUCUACCAUUCCCACUCCCACCUUCUUCUUCUUCUUCUCCAAGAUCGUCCCAUGUACGUUCACCACCUUCAAGUUGACAGGCUUUAGGUGGUUACCAUUGUUGCUCCUUCUUCUUGGUUUCCCUCAGUUACAGACUUCCUGUUUGCUUCAAUAUAUUCCAAAUGUAUUUGGAACGUUUUAUACGUCUAGCUAUAUACCCUUAUCAUGUGAUUGGACUCUCAUGAAAUUUUUGGUGCUCUGGCCCUUUGCUAUUUUUUUAUAGUCAGAACCAUGACAUAAUUUAAUGAAGCCUUUGGUAACUUUUUUCUUA
Molecule: long non-coding RNA, 1816 nt
Organism: Ziziphus jujuba (common jujube)
Lineage: Eukaryota; Viridiplantae; Streptophyta; Magnoliopsida; Rosales; Rhamnaceae
Exons: 3
Source: RefSeq, a predicted model, not a curated record